AUUUGGUUAAAGGUUUCAUGGUGCAGCAUUACAAACUUAGAAGGAAUGCUUUCAAUGCAGAACCAGUACAUAUGGAAGAAUGACAGCAGCUGUCCUAGAGCCAGAAGAAGUAAAGUGCGGUGCCCAAUAUGAUCCUCUGACACAGAAUGGUCUAGCGGUUAAGAGCCUCAGCGUCAACCAGAUGGAUCUUUUCUUAAUUGCAUGA
RNAcentral lists this long non-coding RNA (205 nucleotides) under Mustela putorius furo (domestic ferret). RNAcentral's name for it is "lncRNA (ENSMPUG00000026630.1)". The record is from RNAcentral. Lineage: Eukaryota; Metazoa; Chordata; Mammalia; Carnivora; Mustelidae.